GGAUCCAGACUUUGAUCAUGGCUCAGGAUGAACGCUAGCUACAGGCUUAACACAUGCAAGUCGAGGGGCAGCGGGAUUGAAGCUUGCUUCAAUUGCCGGCGACCGGCGCACGGGUGAGUAACGCGUAUCCAACCUUCCGUACACUCAGGGAUAGCCUUUCGAAAGAAAGAUUAAUACCUGAUAGUAUCUUAAGCACACAUGUAAUUAAGAUUAAAGAUUUAUCGGUGUACGAUGGGGAUGCGUUCCAUUAGGUAGUCGGCGGGGUAACGGCCCACCUAGCCAACGAUGGAUAGGGGUUCUGAGAGGAAGGUCCCCCACAUUGGAACUGAGACACGGUCCAAACUCCUACGGGAGGCAGCAGUGAGGAAUAUUGGUCAAUGGACGAGAGUCUGAACCAGCCAAGUAGCGUGAAGGAUGAAGGUCCUACGGAUUGUAAACUUCUUUUAUAAGGGAAUAAACCCUCCCACGUGUGGGAGCUUGUAUGUACCUUAUGAAUAAGCAUCGGCUAACUCCGUGCCAGCAGCCGCGGUAAUACGGAGGAUGCGAGCGUUAUCCGGAUUUAUUGGGUUUAAAGGGAGCGCAGACGGGUCGUUAAGUCAGCUGUGAAAGUUUGGGGCUCAACCUUAAAAUUGCAGUUGAUACUGGCGUCCUUGAGUGCGGUUGAGGUGUGCGGAAUUCGUGGUGUAGCGGUGAAAUGCUUAGAUAUCACGAAGAACUCCGAUUGCGAAGGCAGCACACUAAUCCGUAACUGACGUUCAUGCUCGAAAGUGUGGGUAUCAAACAGGAUUAGAUACCCUGGUAGUCCACACGGUAAACGAUGGAUACUCGCUGUUGGCGAUAUACUGUCAGCGGCUUAGCGAAAGCGUUAAGUAUCCCACCUGGGGAGUACGCCGGCAACGGUGCAAC
Molecule: ribosomal RNA, 906 nt
Filed under: uncultured Bacillota bacterium
Lineage: Bacteria; Bacillati; Bacillota
Description: bacterial SSU rRNA
Rfam family: Bacterial small subunit ribosomal RNA
Source: RNAcentral